RNAcentral lists this ribosomal RNA (497 nucleotides) under uncultured bacterium. RNAcentral describes it as "partial 16S ribosomal RNA". It matches the Rfam family "Bacterial small subunit ribosomal RNA", at positions 28 to 507 of the family's 1533-position model. The record is from RNAcentral.
GAUGAACGCUGGCGGCGUGCCUAAUACAUGCAAGUCGAGCGAACGGACGAGAAGCUUGCUUCUCUGAUGUUAGCGGCGGACGGGUGAGUAACACGUGGAUAACCUACCUAUAAGACUGGGAUAACUUCGGGAAACCGGAGCUAAUACCGGAUAAUAUUUUGAACCGCAUGGUUCAAAAGUGAAAGACGGUCUUGCUGUCACUUAUAGAUGGAUCCGCGCUGCAUUAGCUAGUUGGUAAGGUAACGGCUUACCAAGGCAACGAUGCAUAGCCGACCUGAGAGGGUGAUCGGCCACACGGGAACUGAGACACGGUCCAGACUCCUACGGGAGGCAGCAGUAGGGAAUCUUCCGCAAUGGGCGAAAGCCUGACGGAGCAACGCCGCGUGAGUGAUGAAGGUCUUCGGAUAGUAAAACUCUGUUAUUAGGGAAGAACAUAUGUGUAAGUAACUGUGCACAUCUUGACGGUACCUAAUCAGAAAGCCACGGCUAACUACGUG